CCUACGGGUGGCUGCAGUGGGGAAUAUUGCACAAUGGGGGAAACUCUGAUGCAGCGACGCCGCGUGAGUGAAGAAGUAAUUCGUUACGUAAAGUUCUAUCAGCAGGGAAGAAAAUGAUGGUACCUGCGUAAGAAGCCCCGGCUACCUACGUGCUAGCAGCCGCGGUAAUACGUAGGGGGCAAGCGUUAUCCGGAUGUAUGGGGUGUAAGGGGAGCGUAGACGGUGCGCCAAGUCUGAAGUGAAAUGCCGCCGCUUAAUUGCGGAACUGCUUUGGAAACUGGCGAACUAGAGUGCGGGAGGGGGAAGCGGAAGUCCGAGGGUAGCGGUGAAAUGCGUAGAUAUUAGGAGGAACACCGGGGGCGAAGGCG
Molecule: ribosomal RNA, 368 nt
Filed under: uncultured bacterium
Lineage: Bacteria
Description: partial 16S ribosomal RNA
Rfam family: Bacterial small subunit ribosomal RNA
Source: RNAcentral